AUUGAACGCUGGCGGCAGGCCUAACACAUGCAAGUCGAGCGGAUGAAGGGAGCUUGCUCCUGGAUUCAGCGGCGGACGGGUGAGUAAUGCCUAGGAAUCUGCCUGGUAGUGGGGGAUAACGUCCGGAAACGGGCGCUAAUACCGCAUACGGCCUGAGGGAGAAAGUGGGGGAUCUUAGGACCUCACGCUAUCAGAUGAGCCUAGGUCGGAUUAGCUAGUUGGUGGGGUAAAGGCCUACCAAGGCGACGAUCCGUAACUGGUCUGAGAGGAUGAUCAGUCACACUGGAACUGAGACACGGUCCAGACUCCUACGGGAGGCAGCAGUGGGGAAUAUUGGACAAUGGGCGAAAGCCUGAUCCAGCCAUGCCGCGUGUGUGAAGAAGGUCUUCGGAUUGUAAAGCACUUUAAGUUGGGAGGAAGGGCAGUAAGUUAAUACCUUGCUGUUUUGACGGUACCAACAGAAUAAGCACCGGCUAACUUCGUG
RNAcentral lists this ribosomal RNA (484 nucleotides) under uncultured bacterium. Its description in RNAcentral is "partial 16S ribosomal RNA". It matches the Rfam family "Bacterial small subunit ribosomal RNA", at positions 30 to 507 of the family's 1533-position model. The record is from RNAcentral.